Long non-coding RNA from Thunnus maccoyii (southern bluefin tuna), 1266 nucleotides. RefSeq lists it as uncharacterized. NCBI's taxonomy places the organism in Eukaryota, Metazoa, Chordata, Actinopteri, Scombriformes, Scombridae. The record is from RefSeq and is a predicted model, not a curated record. The transcript has 6 exons.
CAGCGACAACACUUGCAAAUAAUGCAGCAAUCAGCCUGCAGGUGAGGUCAAGUGUCAUUCAUAUUAGUGCAAAGUUUCACUACAUCUUUGUUGUUUUUUUGAUGAAUUGUGUAAUCGAUUGUAUUAUUGCUGUUAUUAACACACACCUCCUGACAUCCACAGCCUGUCUCACCUGUUUCCAAGUUGUCAGAUAUAAAGACUGAUAUAAUUCAGGCCUGCUGGUGGUAAAUAAAGCUUAUUUGUUCUCCACUUCUGGAUUUUCAGUGUAUUUCUUUUGACUAUUCAGGUGUUUUGAAUGUCCACCAGCUGCUGGAUGCACCCAGGACUAAACUUUCUCUCCACAGCUUGUUCAAUCUCAGCUCUUGGUGUAAACAUUUGCAUUAUUACAAUCAGGCCCUUCGUCUAUGAACAAACAGACAGACACAUUAGUGGAGAUAUUUGGAGGCGUUGAAGGUCAUCAAGAUGAAGUCCUGAGUGCUGAUUUUGAUCUCUUGGGUGAAUAAAUGAUGUCAUGUGUGAUGGACCACUCCCUAAAACUUUGGCGGAUUAAUUCAGAGAGAAUGCAGAAAGCCGUUGGCGGAUCUUACGAGUACAACCCCUCCAAGACCAACAGAUUGCAGGAAGUUUGCUGGCAACUGGACCAUCUUACUGUUAGAACAGAUGGAAAGAAAAUUCAUACUAUCAACCUAAACAGAGACUUUAAAAAGCUGAAACACCACCCUCAAGGAAAGCGUGUGAUCACCAGGGCGGUGAUGUGGGUCAGUGGUCUGUUGUGUCACAAUAAAAAGUUCCCCAGCUCAAUUAGCUCAGUGAUUAACUUUCCCGCUGGCUGAUUAAAAAUGCUCCUGCCGUCACCCUUUACCGAGGCGCUGUCCUGACUAUUGAAGCUGGUUCAUUGGAAGAGUUUGGGGCUCUUGGUAAUGAACUGAAACACCAUCUGUCAGCUAAAGCAAGCACACUCACAUUUCUCACAGAAAGUUACACCUUUUCUAGUUUAUUGUUAUUUUAUAUUAUAAUGUAUUCAUUCAUGUAUUUUUCCUGUGAAAAUGUAAAUGAUAAUUGAGUUUAAUAAUAUGUCAUUUAUCUUUAUCAAUAAUGUGACCUCAUGAAGUUUAUUUGGUUGGAGAAACAGUCUUAAGUUUAUUGGAGGGAAUGUCUUCUCACUCGCUGCAACCCAGAGAGGUCAGAGGUCAGGCUAACAUCUAGAUCAGCACAGCUACAGCAAGUAGGAUUCAAUAUAUUUAUAGAUUAUUUAUAUAUUUAUAG